This 508-nucleotide ribosomal RNA is filed under the name uncultured bacterium. RNAcentral describes it as "partial 16S ribosomal RNA". It matches the Rfam family "Bacterial small subunit ribosomal RNA", at positions 28 to 523 of the family's 1533-position model. The record is from RNAcentral.
GAUGAACGCUGGCGGCGUGCCUAACACAUGCAAGUCGAACGGAGUUAUAUUAUAGAAGCCUUCGGGAAGAAGUAAAAUAACUUAGUGGCGGACGGGUGAGUAACGCGUGGGCAACCUGCCCUAUACCGGGGGAUAGCAGUUGGAAACGACUGAUAAUGCCGCAUAAGCGCACAGUACCGCAUGGUACAGUGUGAAAAUUUCCGGAGGUAUAGGAUGGGCCCGCGUCAGAUUAGCCAGUUGGCAGGGUAACGGCCUACCAAAGCAACGAUCUGUAGCCGGCCUGAGAGGGCGGACGGCUACAUUGGGACUGAGACACGGCCCAAACUCCUACGGGAGGCAGCAGUGGGGGAUAUUGCACAAUGGGGGAAACCCUGAUGCAGCGACGCCGCGUGAGUGAAGAAGUAUUUCGGUAUGUAAAGCUCUAUCAGCAGGGAAGAAAGACCCGCAAGGGGGAUGACGGUACCUGAAUAAGAAGCCCCGGCUAACUACGUGCCAGCCGCCGCAGUAA